ACGGAAGGCAGCAGUGGGGAAUAUUGGGCAAUGGGCGAACGCCUGACCCAGCAACGCCGCGUGAGGGAAGAAGGGUUUCGGCUCGUAAACCUCUGUCCUAUGGACGAAGAAGUGACGGUACCAUAGGAGGAAGCUCCGGCUAACUACGUGCCAGCAGCCGCGGUAAUACGUAGGGAGCGAGCGUUGUCCGGAAUGAUUGGGCGUAAAGGGCGCGUAGGCGGCCCGGUAAGUCUGGAGUGAAAGUCCUGCUUUCAAGGUGGGAAUUGCUUUGGAUACUGUCGGGCUGGAGUACAGGAGAGGAAAGCGGAAUUACCGGUGUAGCGGUGAAAUGCGUAGAGAUCGGUAGGAACACCAGUGGCGAAGGCGGCUUUCUGGACUGAAACUGACGCUGAGGCGCGAAAGCGUGGGGAGCAAACAGGAUUAGAUACCCUGGUA
Molecule: ribosomal RNA, 435 nt
Filed under: uncultured bacterium
Lineage: Bacteria
Description: partial 16S ribosomal RNA
Rfam family: Bacterial small subunit ribosomal RNA
Source: RNAcentral